Molecule: ribosomal RNA, 431 nt
Filed under: uncultured bacterium
Lineage: Bacteria
Description: bacterial SSU rRNA
Rfam family: Bacterial small subunit ribosomal RNA
Source: RNAcentral
ACGAACGCUGGCGGCGUGCCUAACACAUGCAAGUCGAACGAGAUCUUCGGAUCUAGUGGCAGACGGGUGAGGAACACGUGGGAACAUCCCUUUCAGUUCGGAAUAACUCAGGGAAACUUGAGCUAAUACCGGAUACGUCCGUGAGGAGAAAGAUUUAUCGCUGAAAGAUUGGCCCGCGUCUGAUUAGCUAGUUGGUGAGGUAACGGCUCACCAAGGCUACGAUCAGUAGCUGAUCUGAGAGGAUGAUCAGCCACAUUGGGACUGAGACACGGCCCAAACUCCUACGGGAGGCAGCAGUGGGGAAUAUUGGACAAUGGGCGCAAGCCUGAUCCAGCCAUGCCGCGUGAGUGAUGAAGGCCUUCGGGUUGUAAAGCUCUUUUGUCCGGGAAGAUAAUGACUGUACCGGAAGAAUAAGCCCCGGCUAACUUCGU